GGGCUCCGAGCCCAGCUCCACUGGCCCCGGCCGCGGGGCUCGCCCCUCCGUCCCCAAACGACCGUCUCCGCUGCCAUGAGAUGCCGACAGCCUGUGCGCUGGCCGCCACCCCCUGCUCCAUCAGGUGCUGGAAUCUGAGUAAAAGCCUGGGCGCGAGCUCCCAGCCCCGGGGCCUGCCACCGGCUCCACGAAGCGGGCAGCUCCAGCGGCCGCCGGGAGAAGGAAGGGCGACCGGGGGAGACGGGUCGCAGGGACAGCACGUGGCGGAAAGUUAGCCCCGGACUAGCACGCCCCACCCGGAGAAGCCGGCCUGGAAGGGGCUGCGGACCACCAGGCGGAGCGGUGGGCGACCGAAGUGCGGCUGGGCUGGCCUCCUCGUCUCCGCACUGGAAGAAUUGCCCUUCCGCAAGUCUUCCCUUCCCACAUGGGGGCCCUCCAGGCCGCACCUCGGUCGCCCACCGCUUCCCUUGAGAAGGGAGACUAAAGACAGGCAUCUGGAAGCUGUCACUGUGGCGCGCGGGCAGACAGGGGAUCCCAUUGGAGAGGAAGAGCCGUAGUAGUCGCUGCUGCCUUCGGCCGACCCAACGGCCGCCUGCUUGGGAGGAAGAAAAAGAACGCCCCCGCUGAAGAAUUAAGGCAGCCAUUGGUUGCUCUAGGGGUAAGGACCGAGGCCUCCCCUGGGUGUCACUGGAGCAGCCACACGUGGGGGAUCAGCCGACUUCAUUCGAUCGCUGGCGACAGACCCGGCGACCCGUAGGAAUGCGCGCUGGGGCUGCGGCUGGAGGGCGUGGCGACGGCAACAGGCGGGUGGCUCGAGUGGGUGCGACUCUGGGCGCGUGGGACUGAGAACUCCUCCGCCGUGGGGAAGAUUUUUUUCCCAGCAGAUGUUGGGGUGUUACUGCGUGUCUGAGGGGCCGGCGGAAUGGAGGGGUCCCGGUGCGUGCAGGGCAGCGAGGUGUGUCAGAUGAGCUGUGGAUCCCUGCGGCCCCACGUGGGCCGGAGAGGGGGGCCCACGACAACAAGCGAUUGAGGACAGCGAUGGACAGGGCGGGGAACCAGCUGGGUGGAAGCACAGGGAGUGUGGUGAGGAGGGAAGGGCUGUGAUCUGCCCUCGGUACGACGCCCCAAGGGACAGCCUGGCCUCCUGAAUUAGGGAAAAGACAACCGGUCUCUUUAGACGGGCGCCUCAGAGUCUGACCUGAGUCUUCAAACGCCCAGAUCCCCUGGGGCCUUGAGUCUCCCUGUCCCGCUGGCCCUGCCUCGCCUGCGCUUCAGGACUCCGACGCCCCCGCAGCCUUGGGCUAAGGGUCAGUCGUCCCCGGGCGCGGGUCCGGCUGCCCUGGAACUGAUGCUGGAUUUCGCUGGUAGGUGGGCUAGGGGCUUGGUCACCCCGUCUGAAUUCCACUGUCAGGACAGCUGUGGAACCGCCAGAGAAAAGUCUGGCCAUGAAAGAAAGGUGAGGGGCGCCGACGCAGAGCUUAUUUAUUCAGUCUGUGGGCGGACUCAGACGUGCAGAGCACCAACCUCUUCAAUUUCUGCCCUCUAGACUCCAAAUCUUUUGAAAUUAGGGACCACCAUUUUAUGCCAAACAUACAGUAGGCGCUCAAUAAGUGUUGAAUUAAGAUUACACAUAAAUGGGCCGGGCGCGGUGGCUCACGCCUGUAAUCCCAGCACCUUGGGAGGCUGAGGUGGGCCAACAUGGUGAAACCUUGGCUCUAAAAAAAUGCAAAAAUUAGCCAGGCAUGGUGGCGCUUGCCUGUAGUCCCAGCUACUAUAGAGGCUGAGGUGGGAGAGUCGCUUGAACUCUGGAGGCGGAGGUUGCAGUGAGCCGAGAUCGCGCCACUACACUCCAGUCUGGGUGACGCAGUGAGACCCUGUCUCAAAAAAUAUAUAAUAAUAAGAUUACACACAGAUGGGUGCUGUGCAAAGGGAGGGGGAAGACAAAUACUUUCUUCUGCAGCUCUGGUACAUGGACAUUUUGUCCUUUCUCCAUAAGGAGGAUCAGACAGCAGCAGCACUGCCCAUGGACCAGAGGCCUCAUGUAAGGCCUGGGAAAAGAGGGCUCCACACACCACCAACCGGAUGUAAGGGCAGUUGCAAAGGAACUGUGUUAUCUUGACCAGAACAGACUGUAGAAUUUGUUUAUCAAAUUUUUUUUUUUUACUUAUUUAUUUUGUGAAUGUAUAUGCUGUAAACUCAUCUGCUUAGAUUGUAAGAAUGUGAAUGCCCUACCUUGGUGGGUAGGUUAGUUUAUUCUAAUCAGCAAAACUUAACGUUACAUAUUCCAACAUCUCAUUUGGGAUGUGAAGAUGCUAUGGGGAGGGUGGGUAUCCUGGCAUUGCUAGAAUGUUGGAGCCUUAGCGAGAGAGUGGCAGAGUGGGGAGAACCUGGCACUUCAGCUACAGAUGAUCACUUAUGAGCUUUGUUAUAUCAAAUAAGUUAAACUUUCAUCUCAUUUUUUUUUUUUCUAUUGUAAAAUAGGGUAGUAACAGUGAGUCCUGGGGGAGGACGUGUUCUGUUAGCCAGAUCCACUCUCCAACCUGCUGUCUGUCCUUUGGAGCCUUAACUCAAGAGACUUUCUUUCCCUCUAGCUUCCAGUUGAGUGAAGGCACUAGGAAGCAACAGCGAUGGAACAAAGAGGAAGGAGUAUGGUUAUUUAUUCCCCCCUGGCUCCCUUACUAUGGCACCAUUGCAGGCUGGUUGCCUCCCUCAACCAAAGGAAGCAGCCAGUAUCCCUCCCUAGGGUGACCCAGAGUAAACCCCUAUGGUUUCCCUUCAUUUUGCACAUACCUUUGCAGAUAGUCUUUUUAUAAAACUCUACUCACAUUAUCCAGUAGGAAUGAACAUCUCAUUCCUUCACAGAAUUGUUUUGAGAGUUAACUGAGAAAAUACUGUAUUAUUAUUAUUAGAAUGACCUAUAAUUUCUGUCCAAACUGAGAAACUUUUGAGGCUGGGAAAAGGGGGUUUGUGCUGAUAGUAAUGAUGUCAGGACAAUAGGAAAAACAAGGACUUAUGGCCACCCCAGCUAUUAUUGCCAGUAAACUCUGCUUUAGACAUAUUAAGCAAUCAAGAAGUGGUCGUACUAUCACGCUUCUGUCACUAGACUAUGAAUGUCUCAAGGUAAGAGUGCUUUUUUGUCUAUUAGCUUCUGUCACAUGGUCUGGUAUAUUCAAUAAAUUUUGAGUUGGAGAUGAGGGUAAAGACUAGGAAAUGAAUAAUUUUUAUUGCCAUACUAAGGUAAUGAAGAGUCAAGGAGGUCUUUAAGCAAAGAAAAUUUGCAUUUUAGAAAACAGCUAUAGUGAAUAUUUGGCAUUGUUAGUAAUUUAGGGUCUAUUCCCUUUUUAAUUGAACCCCAAUUUAUUUGGAGAGCUUUUCCAAUGAAUGUUUCAACUUGGUAAAAAGUAAAUGCCUCUUAAAAAAGAGGUUCUGGGCCAGGCGUACUGGUUCAUGCCUUGUAAUCCCAGCACUUUGGGAGGCCAAGGCGGGCAGAUCACCUGAGGUCAAGAGUUCGAGACCAGCCUGGCCAACAUGGCGAAACCCCACCUCUACUAAAAAUACAAAAAUUAGUGGGAUGUGCUGGUGCAUGCCUGUAAUCCCAACUACUCGGGAGGCUGAGGCAGGAGAAUAGCUUGAACUCACAAGGUGGAGGUUGCAGUGAGCCGAGAUCGCACCAGUACACUUCAGCCUGGCUGACACAGCCAGACUCCAUCUCAAAACAAAACCAAAAAAAGAGGUUCCUCGCUGGCUGUGGUAGCAUGGUGUAGUCCCAGCUACUCAAGAGGCUGAGGCAGGAAGAUCACUUAAAGCCAGGAGUUUAAGGCUGUAGUGCGUUAUGAUUGAGCCUGUGAACAGCCACCGUACUCCAACCUGGGCAACAUAGCAAGAUCUCACGUCCAAAAAAAUUAAUUUAAUUUAUUUUCAAUAAGAGGCUCCUGAAGAGACGUUCCAUCACACCCUUCCUUUCAUCACCACAGUACAUACAUUCUUAAGAAAGUAUGUGAUCUAAGCUUGGCCAAUUAGAUGCUGUUACAUUUGAAUUUUGAAUCAAGAGACACAAAGACAAUACAAAUUGUUACAGUUUAUGCAGGCCAUAAAUUAUUUUUUACUUUUUGGCAAAUUGUUACAGUUUAUGGGGUCUACAAUUUAUUUUUUUAUUUUCUGGCUUAAGUUAUCUAGGAUUUGUUUCUGUGGUUUACAGUCAAAGAACCCAAAGACCAGAUCACUCUUGACUACCAUAAAAAUGAUUAAUUAUAAAGGGAUACAAGAAAAACAGGAGGCUGGGCACAGUGUCUCAUGGCUGUAAUCCCAGCACUUUGGGAGGCCAAGGUGGGUGGAUCACUUGAGGUCAGAAGUUCGAGACCAGCCUGGCCAACAUGGUGAAACCCCAUCUCUACUAAAAAUACAAAAGUUAGCCGGGCGUGAUGGUGGGCGCCUGUAAUCCCAGCUACUUGGGAGGCUGAAGCUUGAGAAUCACUUGAACCGGGGAGGCAGAGGUUACAGUGAGCCGAGAUCGCACCGCUGCACUCCAGCCUGGGCAAUAGAGCAAGACUGAGUCACAGAACAACAACAACAACAACAAACAAAAGCACACACACAAAACAGGUGAUAAGUUAGCUAUUGCCACUUUAAUUUUGGAUGGUUUAACUGACUGUCCUGAACUGACUGAUCCUGAACUCCUUCUGCAACACAAUAUGUAAAAAUGUUCAUUAAAACAUUGUAAAAUGCAUCUACAUUUGAGAGGAAAAAGUAAAACUCUCUAUUCACAGAUAACACAAAUAUACAGAAAAUCCUAAGGAAUCCACUAAAAAAUCAUUAGAAGUAAUAAAUGAACUCAGCAAGUUUACAAGAUACAGGAUCCACUGAGAUUCUGAUAAACAUGGAAGGCAAAAACAUUGAAACCGUCAUUUAUAAACUCACAUAGGCUCCAGUGAUUAUCUCUUCUUUUCUUUGUUAAAAAAAUGCAUUUAAAAAUCAUUCUAGAAAAUUGUUAGGCAAUGUUAAAUUUACCAAUAACUCUGACUCUUCUUUGCCCCUACCACUUUUUAUUAUCUUUGAAAAUCAAGACAAUAUUUGCCCUUCUUCAAUCUUUUAUCAUUUCUUAUUUUUCUCUGGCUUCUGGAAAGUGAGUAAUUACCUUUACGAUCACUUAUGAAAUCUCUUGCAUGGAUAAUUCAUUUAGGCCUAGAAACUCAUUUAAAGCAAUCGAUUGCUUGCUUACCAUGCUGGAUUUUAGUAGCCUUUAAAUCAUGUUUAUUCUACCUUUUUUCAUUAAAACAUUAGUCUCUUUGGGAGAGGAGACAAAUAAAUUAAAACUUGAGUUUUACCUUUUCUUUGUCAUCUGAUAGCAUUAUGUCAUCAGCACGAAGCAGUAGCUUCCAUCCUUUCUUGUUCACCCUCUUGUGGCAAGUAUUACUUGAAAAACAAAAAAAUAAAUUUAAAAAAAGUCUUUGUAUUCUUUUUAAAGGCAAAAAUUAUCUAAGCCUGCAGGGACAUUUCCAUUCUUAUAGGCUAUGGUACUCUUUAAAGCACGCUGUUUAAAAAAUCUGAUUGCAAUAAGUAUGUCCUGUGAAGUGACAUGCUCCUUAGAGUAAGAUGACUUGGCUUGCUGGCCACUCUGUUUGGCAGCCAGCCCUGGAGCUGGGUCAGUUUCCCCUGGCUCUGGCAUCACUCCUUCUCAGAUAAUUCCUUUCUCCCUGUGGCCAGUCAUUGUGGUGACAGUUAUUAUUCUUUUUCAUGAGCCUAGAAAAUUUAUGUGGUGGAUGUCCCUCUGAAUACUAGAUACUGCCACUGAAUUAGAAGAGAAUCAUAUGCACUUGUAUAUUCUGACAGCCAUGUCACUUACACCUUCUCACCUUUUGUCUCGUCCUAUUUGCUAUCUACCAUUCUACCACUGUCCAUUUCUACCAGCUGAAUAACUCUCUGAUGCAGGGGUUACUCUGCACCCUCAUCUCCCUUACUGUAGACUUGUUCCUUUUGAAUGAGAUAAAAUUUCCUUGACUUAUAAUAUUUCAGUCAUAAUUUCCUUGCUACCUCAUGUACCGAUACCUAUUGGAUUAUGUUCAUUUUGUUAAUUUUCCCAAGUUCAAUUUGCUUUACCACUAAUUCUCUCUUUCCAGGCUGAGAUUUCAAAAGUCAUCAGCAUUAUAUUUCACCUUACUUCUGUCUGUUUUAUUGAGUCCCAUCUGAAUCAGCAGAAGUGGCUGUAGGUUGGCUGGUAUCAUGAAUUUUGGCAGAUUAUGCUUCAUGAGUCAUCAUUCCACACUUUAGGAAGAUAACGAACUAGCCGUUGCAAGACUGCCUUCCUACUCAUCAGCAGAGAAAACAUGGACUUGGAAGCCAGGACACUUGCGUUCGUGUUCCUACACUGUCAAACAUCAUGAGCUAUGCAAAAUUUUUAAGUUGAUGUAUUUGGAUAUAGGCGAAGCUGCUGUAAUGGGAAUAUCCCAAGAGUCAUUGGUUAAAGAAAAAUAGAUGGUUUUUUGUUUGUUUGUUUUUGAGACAGUCUUGCUCUGUCACCCAGGCUGGAGUGCAGUGGUGCGAUCUCAGCUCAUUGUAAACUCCACCUCCUGGGUUCAAGUGAUUCUCCUGCCCCGGUCUCCCAAAUAGCUGGGACUACAGGUGCAAGCCACCAUGCACGGCUAAUUUUUGUGUAUUUCUAGUAGAGAUGAGAUUUCACCAUGUUGGCCAGACUGGUCUCAAACUCCUGACCUCAGGUGAUCUACCUGCCUCGGCCUCCCAAAAUGCUGGGAUUACAGAUGUGGGCCACCGCACCCAGCCUAGAUGUUUAUUUCCGAUUGUUACCUUAUCUACUCUGAUCAAAACAGUCUCACCAGCACCAUAUCCACAUUCUAGCCCAUGGAAAGGGUAAAGAAAAGAAAGUGGAAGAUAUUAGUUUCCAUUUAAGGAAGUGACAUGGAAAUAAUAUAAGUCACCUGUGUUCACAUUCCACUGGCAAAAAUUCAGUCACAGGAAUGUACUUAGCUGCAGAGGAGGCUAGGAUAUGCCCUCCAAAAACUCAGGGGGGAUGUCCUACUUGUAAAAGGAAGAAAUGAAAAAUGGACACUGAGAGGAAAUCAGCAGUCUCAGAGGUAAUAUACUUACACAGUUUUUUAAAAAACAUAAAAUGAUGCAGAAUGAAGUUUCCACUCUAUUCACCAUCUAUCCAGUCCUCAUGCCUCCCAACAAGAGGUAAAUACUUUAUUAUUGUGUCAUGUAUCUUUCCAGAGUUUUUCUAAGCAAUUUGCAACAGAUAUAAAUAUGUAUCCUUAUUUCCUACCUUACCCCAUAUUGUACAUGAAAGAAAAAAUAUACUAUGUAUAACAUUCUGUAUCUUUUUUUCACUUAAUAUAUUUUGCAGUUCCUUUUAUAUAGAUACAUAGUUACCUUCUUCAUUCAUUUAUACAGCUGCCUACUGUUUCUAAGGCUAUAUCACUGAUAAAGUCUCAUGGAUACACUCAAGGUUUUUUCAGUCUUUUAUCAUGAUAAACCAUGCCGCAAUAAUAACCUUGUACUAGUCAUUUUUAACAUGUGAAAGUAUAUCUGCAAGAUACAUUUCCAGAAAUGGGAUUAGCCAAUCAUAUGAUAUUAAGCCAACCUUUUGAUCUCUUUGAGCUGCAUUUGUUAACUAAUAAAUUAAGCUCAUAUUUACCUCAUAGGAUCAUUAUUAUAAUGAAAUAACCAUAUAAACAAUUAUUGUACAACAAUAUCAAAAACAAAAUAGAGAUAAGUUUAUCAAAAUAUGUGUAAGAUCUGUACUCUAAAAACCUAUAAAACUGUGUUGAGAGAAAUUAAAGGAAGCCUAAAGUAAUGGAGAAAUAUACCAUGAUCAUGGAUUGAAAGACUCAAUAUUGUUAAUAUGUAAUUCUCCCUAAAUUGAUCUACAGAUUCAAUAUAAUCCCAAUUGAAAUCCAAGCAAGCUUUUUUUAAAAAUAGAAAUUAACAAUCUGAUUGUAAAAUGUAUGUGAAAACACAAAAGACCUAUGCUAGCUAGCCAAAACAAUUUUGAAAAAGAACAAAGUUGGAUAACUUACACUGUGCAAUUUCAAUACUUAACUAAAAAGCUACAAUAAUCAAGACAUGGAAUCGGCCAACAUACAAUCAUAUAGUCCAGUGGGAGAGCAUAUGGAAAGUCUACAUAUAGACACAUAUGGUCAAUUGAUUGUUGGCACAAGUGCCAAGAUAAUUCUAUGGGAAAGGACAAUCUUUUCAACUAAUCAUACUGGGACUAUUGGAUAUCCAUAUAGAAGAAAAGAACCUCAAACCUUAUUUCACCUAUACACAAGAUUGAAUCCAAUGGAUCAUAAACCUAAGUGUAAACAGUAAAGCUUUGUUUAGAAGAAAACAAAGAAAAACUCUUCAUGACUGUGGGUUAGGCAACAGUUUUGUAGAGGAGACACAGAAAGCACUAACCAACUGGAUAUUAUCAAACUUCAAAUUUUUGCUCCUCAAAAUACACCACUAAGAAACUAAAAAGGUAAGCCACAGACUGGGGAAAAAUACCUACACUAUUUGCAAAAAAUAAUAAUGACAAAAUAUGUGAACAUACACAUAAUAAAAGAAGAUACAUGUUUGGCCAAAUGCAUGUGAAAUGGUGGUCAACAUCAUUAGUCAUCAGAGAAAUGCAAAUUAAAGUACAAUUGUAUGCCUCCUAGUAGAAUGGUGAAAAUUAGAAAGACUGAUGAUUCCAGUUGUUCGGGAAGAUGUGGAGUACUGGAACUCUGAUGCCUUGUUGCUGUCUUUGUUUAGUGUUGGUAUAACAGAAUACCUGAGGCUGGAUAUUUUACUUUAAAAAAGAGGUUUAUUGGGCUUAUGAUUGUGGUGACUAGAAGAGUCAAGAUUGGGCAGCUGCAUCUGAUGAAGGCCUCAUGUUGCUUCAACUCAUGACAGAAAGCAGAAAGAGAGAGUGUGUGUAAAGAUCACAUUGUGAGAGAGGAUGCAAGAGAGAGAAGCCAAGGAAGCCAAACUCAUUUUUAACAACUUGCUAUCAUGGGAACUAAUUCAUUCUCUCAGAGCAAGAACUACUCACCUCUGUAGGAGGGCAUUCAUCUAUUCUUGAGGGAUCCAUCUCCCUCACCCAAACACCUUCCACUAGCCUACCUCCCAACACCACCACACUGGGGAUAAAAUUUCAAUAUGCAUUCCAGUAGGGACAGACCACAUCCAAACCAUUGCAGUUGGUGAAAAUGCAAAAUGUACAAGCACUUUGGAAAACAGAUUGGCAGUUUCUUAUGUAGUUAAACAUAUAUUUACCAUAUGACUCUACAUUUACACUAAAAAAUAGUUACACGACAGAAAUAAUGAGUCCACAAAAAAGCAUUCAUAGCAGCUUUAUGCAUAGCAGCCAAAAAAUGAAACAGCCCAAGAGUUCAACAACAGGUUAACUGACAAACAAAUUGUGGUACCUAUAUUUACAUAAUAGAACCCUGCUUUGGUAUAAAAUAAACCAUGGAUACAUGCAAAAUGUAGAUAAAUCUCAAAUACAUUAUUCUGAGUGAAAGACGUCAGACCCCAAAAUUACAAAUGGUAUGAUUCAACAUAUAUGAAAUUCUAAAAACACAAAACUGUAGUUACAGAAAGCAAAACAAUGGUGGCUUGGGGUAUCAGAUGAGGAGGAUGGACUUGAAAAGAGCACAGGAUGGACUUUUGGAGUGAUAAAAAUCUGUAUCAUGGUUAUAGUGAUGAUUAGAUGAGUGAAUGAAUUUGUCAAAAUUCAUUUGUCUGUACACUUAAAAUGGGUAUGGUUGUAUACAGGUUAAACAUCAAUAAAAAAAUCUUAAAUUGCUGUACUAAUAUUGUUUUUGUGAUAUCAAAACCUGUAAGAGUGGACCUCUUUCUCUACAAGUUAUCACAUGCCAUCAAACUUUUGCUUAGAUUUGUUGAAUGCUUUUCUGUCUCAGGCACCAUGCAAAGUAUUUUGUAUGCAUCUCUCAUUUAAUCAUCACAGCAAUCCUCUGGCAUUUCUCCAUUUCUUGAUGAGGAUACUAAAGCACAGAGACAAUAAGAAUAUUAUCCACUUUGGGAGGUCAAGGCAGGAGGAUGGCUUGAGGCCAGGUGUUUGAGACCAGCCUGGGCAACAUAGCAAGGACCCAUCUCUACAAAAAACAAAACAAAACAAAAUCAUCCACGUUAUCCAAUGUCUAAUUACACUGUGAAAUUAAUAAGUGGUAGAGCUAGGAUUCAAGCCCAAGUUUGUUACCCUACACCACCCACAUCUCUCAACAAGCUAUGUUGCCUCCUCAGCACUCAUAUCUUUCUUAAUAUAGCUCUUGGAGUUUCACUCACAAAGGCUAAGAGAAUCACCUCCAUUGUGAAAACACUACAAAUCAUAAGGUCUAGCAUUUGAAGGAGAAUCAUUAGUUGUGAAGAGACAGCCAACCAAGGAGACCCAACUUGGUUCUUUUUUUCUUUUUUUUUCUUUUUUUUUUUUGUGAGACGGAGUCUCACUCUGUUGCCCACUCAGCUCACUGCCAGCUCCACCUCCCGGGUUCAUGCCAUUCUCGUGCCUCAGCCUCCCGAGUAGCUGAGACUAUAGGCGCCUGCCACCACGCCCGGCUAAUUUUUUGUAUUUUUAGUAGAGACAGGGUUUCACUGUGUUAGCCAGGAUGGUCUCAAUCUCCUGACCUCAUGAUCCGCCCGCCUCGGCCUCCCAAAGUGCUGAGUUUACAGGUGUGAGCCACUGCGCCCGGCCCCAACUUGGUUCUUACUGAAUAUAUGUUUAGCACAAUCUAGUACAUAGGAGGCACUAUUAUUGUUGUUAUUAUAUUAUUUUACAUACCCCUUGGGAUUCUCUUCUGUCUGCUGCCACUACUAUAUUGGCACUCAGGAUCUGCUGAUCCCCUUUAAUACCCUGGCCCCAGUCCACACAAAGACUCUUCCUUGUUUUCCCCUUAGCAAAACUGAAAUUGCUGGAACUUAAAAAAGCUUAAUGCUAGUGGAGUACAAAAGGCAAACAAGAAAAUACAUAAUUAGGAUAAAAGCCACCUGGCUUACAAAAUAUAUGUUUCUGAACUUAGCAUUUAUUCAUUAAACAUUUACCAAUAGUGUAUACUAUGAAAAAAAAAACAAUGUGUAAGACAACAUGUAUGCUGCACUACCACUUCUGUAAAAAGGGAAGAGAAUGCAUCUAAAUGAACAUGCAUCUUCAGAAGGAUGCACUAGAGAUUGAGAAUAGUGUUUGCUUUUGUGAAAGAGCACGUGCAGCAGGUGUGGGUCAAGGUGAUGAACAUUGUGAGUGACUCAACCACAUCCAUUCUACACAAAUGCAUUUGGAAAAUGGACUUUUUAGCCAGGGAUGGCUCUGAUUGUUACAGGUAUGAUUCCUUUCCCCUGACAGUGAUUUGUUAAAGAAGAGAUAUGUGACCCAAUUCUGUCCAGUGAAUGAGAGGAGAGCAGAGGAGAGGUUUGCUGGAAGGUUCUAGAAUUUGCUUUCUUACUCUAAGGACAAAUUCACAGAAAGUCAGUUGGACACAAAUAAGGAAGGAUGAAGCCCAACUGUUUCCAUUUGACAACUGUGAAAUAAAUUAGCCUUAGGCUGAAGCCCAGGCAGUAGAGAGCAGAGUAGAAAAACAGAAAGAAUCUGUGUCCUUGAUAAUACGGUGAAGCUGCUAAAUCAACUAACUGAACCCCAUCUCGCAUCUCUGGUAAGAGAGUGAAUACAUUUCCCUACCAGUCAGGUAUGAGGUUUCUAUUGCUUGCGGCUGAAAACAAUUAGUGCAGAUGGAGACUUACUUAUCUUCUUUUAUGUUUCUGUAUCUUCCUUUUUUGAAUUACGUGCAUGUAUAUCUAUUUUUAAAAUUUUUAAGAGUUUAUGUGGGCCGGGCGCGGUGGCUCAUGCCUGUAAUCCCAGCACUUUGGGAGGCCGAGGCAGGCGGAUCACCUGAGGUCAGGAGAUCGAGACCAUCCUGGCCAACAUGGUGAAACCCCGUCUCUACUAAAAUACAAAAAAUUAGCUGGGCAUGGUGGUGCGCACCUGUAGUCCCAGCUACUCAGGAGGUUGAGGCAGGGGAAUCGCUUGAACCCAGGAGGCGGAGGUUGCACUAAGCCGAGAUCACGCCACUGCACUCCCACCUGGCUACGGAGCAAGACUCCAUCUCAAAAAAAAAAAAAAAAAAGUUUACUUGUUCCAGGCAUUGGGAAAACUCACUUUAAUCUGUAGGGGUUUUUCUCAAGAUGGGCUUUCUUAAGAAACUUGCUUCUUCCUCAUCAGUGAUCUCAACCACCCAAACUCCUCCAGGAAGAUGUAGAUUUACUCUUUAGAAUGAAUAUGGGUUGAACUAUAUGAAAUUGACAUUUUUUUGUACCAAAUAUUGGUAAUUUCACAGUAUAAAUCAGUGUUCAGGUAGAAGAAAUUCACAUGUUACAACCAUGGGCAUCAGUCCUCCCUGCCAAUGCUCUUGGUCAUCGAACUUUUCACUUGGUCUUUCCCCAGUUGCUGUUUAUUUUAAUCCUUUUACCCCUAGAUCACAGAGAAUUGAUGGAGAAAGAAAAGAACCCUGCAGCUCAGAUCACUAUACGUUCAUGCUGUCUAACCCUGUUUUUGUUUUCUCUAUUACUUGUCAUUUCCUCUAGCAGCUAUAUCAUGCUUCCUGCUUACAGAGAAAACCAAAUCUUCCCACCAGGGCUAUCCUUAUGCACCCUCAUAUACAAAUUGCACCUCUGUCUAUAACUCUCGGCAUCCCUUCUCUUUCCCAAAGAUGCUGUCCCAGACCCUGCACUCUCAAUUGUCUGAUGUUGGAGCAGCAGAUAAAGCAAAUAAAUAACACUAAUACAUCAUAAUCUAGAGUAUUAGUUAGCUAUUGCUGCAUAACAAAUUAUCCCCCAAAAUGUAGUGGCUUAAAACAAUCACCAGUGAUUAUCUCAGUUUCUGUGGGUCAGGAAAUCAGAAGUGGCUUACCAAGUGGUUCUGGCUCAGGUUUUGUGGCAUGGCAGUCAUGAUGCUGGCUAGGGCUGCAGUCAUCUGAAGGUGUGGAAGGGGCUAAAGAUCUGCCUCCAAGAUGGCUCACUCACAUGCAUGGCAAGUUGACACUGGAUGUUGGUGAGAGGACCCAGUUCUUCGCCAUGUAGUUUUCACCAUAAGGCUAAGUGAGUGUCCUUAUGACAUGGCAGCUGACAUUCCCAAAACCAGUGAUCCAAGACAGAGCAAAGAGCAAGGUGGAAACCACAAGGUCUCUCAUGACCUCACCCUAGAAAAUUAUACUGUAUAAUUCCUACAAUAUCCUAUUUGUUGUCAUAUUAGCUCUAUUCAAUGCAGGAGAUGACUACGGGAAGUGUGAAUACCAGAAGGCAAGAUCACUAGAAACUAUCAUGGAGGCCGAACACCACAGGUAGUUAUUAUUAUCUCCAGUAUACAGAUGAGAAAACCAAUUCUCACUGGGUCUAUAACAUAUGUCAAAGUCACACAUCAACAAAACAGUGGUAGAGGCUGAUCUGCCUCUUAAACCCAUACACUUGCUACUGUCAUCCUGCCUCUGGUGUGGUGGUGUACUAUCCUGGAAUGACUUUGAAUUGUUAUGUCACUGUUAAACUAUUGUUUAAUUUUUUUGCCUAACCAUAUUUUAUAAUUUUUCCUUUUUCUUACAAAGCUGUGCAUAUGGUAGACAUUCAGUAAACAGUUAUUUCUACCCAAUAAGUCAACUUAGAAAAACGGAAGGGUUGGCACCCUUAUAAAGGUUUGACAUGGCUACUGUUGUCCAAUGAUAUUCUAGUUUCAGUAGGAGCAAAUUAAUGAUAAUAAUAAUUAAGGGAGAUAGAAGGAUAACUGGACAUGAAUCAUAUUGGCCCUAGCAGAAGGGUUGGGGAGAAAAAAAGAGGCCAAGUUCAAUUCUUUUUAGGGUUAACCCCACAUUGGAUCCCAAACUGGAUCUGAUCACCUUUCUCUCUGAUUCUUCUUAUCAUCAUCUUCCUCAAUCAGAUGAAGUUUCCUAAUAGAAAGGGGUUGAAUUUUAAUGUAUUAUCAAUUCAUUCUCUGGUCCUAUGCAAUAACAGGGUUCAUAUUGGUAUCUGGAUUUAAAUAUUAUUUAUUUCAAUUUGUUGAUGUUUAGGUAAAUUUUAUAUAUAUAUACAUAUAUAUGUAGGUAUACUGUUUAUUUAUAAAAAUCUUAGAAUCUUUAAUAAGCCAAC
Molecule: long non-coding RNA, 14118 nt
Filed under: Homo sapiens (human)
Lineage: Eukaryota; Metazoa; Chordata; Mammalia; Primates; Hominidae
Description: non-protein coding lnc-SOWAHB-5:1
Source: RNAcentral